This 1839-nucleotide long non-coding RNA is filed under the name Serinus canaria (Common canary). Its description in RNAcentral is "lncRNA (ENSSCAG00000007391.1)". The record is from RNAcentral. Lineage: Eukaryota; Metazoa; Chordata; Aves; Passeriformes; Fringillidae.
UGAUUUAGGGUGAGACAAUAAAUUAAAUUUGCCUUAAAUUGAGGGGUGCAGUUGUUAAAGGGACAUUUCUGACGCUUUAUGAGCUGCGGAGUGUCUGUGAGGGGGCAAAAGGGAGGGAAAAGUGUGGGAAAUGUGAGGGGGAAAAACGAUGGGGAACAUGAGGGGGAAAGGGUAAGAAAUGUGAGGGGGAAAGUGGGGGAAGUCUGAGGGGAAAAAGGGUGGGAAAAGAGAGGAAAAAAGGCAGGAAGUGUGAGGGGGAAAAGGGCAGAAAUUGUGAGGGGUAAAGGGCGGGAAACGUGAGGGGAGAAAAGGGCGGGAACUGUGAGGGGAGAAAAGGGCGGGAAACGUGAGGGGAGAAAAGGGCGGGACCCGUGAGGGGAGGAAAGGCAGCAAAUGGAAGGCAAAAAGGACAGUAAAGCCGAGUGAAAAGGACGGGAAAUGAGAGGAAGAAAAGGUAUGAAACAGGGGAAAACGUGAGGGGGAAAAGAGCAGGAAACGUGAUGAGAAAAAAUGGCAGGAAACGUGAGGGGGGGAAAGAGUGGGAAAUGUGAAGGGAAACGUGAGGGGAAAAAGAGCAGGAAAUGUGAGGGGGAAAAAUGGCAGGAAAUGUGAGGGGAGAAAAAAUGGGAAACGCGAGGGGAAAAAGAGUGGGAAAUGUGAGAGAAAAGGACAGAAAAUGUGAGGGGAAAAUGGGAAAUAUGAGGGGGGAAAAGGGCAGGAAACGUGAGGGGAAAAAGGAGGGAAAUGUAAGUGGAAAAGUGAGAAAUGUGAGGGGGAAAAGGGAGGGAAAUGUGAGGAGACAAUGGGGGAAACGUGAGGGGAAAAUGGGGAAAAUGUGAGAAGGAAAAGGGAGGGAAACGUGAGAUCUUCUCCUCCCCCGUUCCCUCCCCUGCCCCCGCUGAAAUCCCAGACUCCCCAUUCCCAUUUCCCCCCCAGACCCCAAAUUCCCCCCAAAUCCCAAACAUCCCCCGAUCCCAAAUCUCAGAUUUUUUAACUCUCUGACUCAAAAAGUGGGAAAAAAUUCCCAUUUUAUUGAGCAAAGCAAAAAUGGAGCCAGGGAGGUCGGGGUGGGGCACCCCAAAUUGGGGGUGGCUGGGACACCCCAACCCUGGGGUGUCCAUGAGGGUCCAGGGGUGUCCAGAAGGUUCCGGUGGUAACCCCGAGGUUCUCCUGGUGCCCGCAAGGUUCUGCCGAAGGUUCCUCUGAUCUGUGAGGGGUUCUAGAGGAACCUAUGGGGUUCUAGAGGUGCCUGUGGGGUUCUAGAGGUGCGUAUGGGGUUCUAGAGGUGGUUCUAGAUGAACUGAUGGGGUUCUGGAGGUGCCUGUGGGGUUCUAGAAGUGUCUACCAGGAUCUAAGUAUGUCUAUAGGGUUCUAGAUGUGUUUAUGGGAUUCUAGAGGCAUCUAAGGUGUUCUAGAGGUGUCUACGGCGUUCUGGUGAUGCCUGCAGGACUCUCAGGCUGUUCACGCGCUUCCAGGACUUUCCCUGAGUUCCUGAAGAAUGUCCCACAGAGACUCAGUUCUCUUGGACUCGUCUCCCUGGGUGUCCCCGGGUUCCUCUCCCUCGGCUUCGUCCCCUGAUCCCCACUGUUCCUCCAGCACCGCCUUGAUUGUGGAGCUGGUGUUGUUGGACAUGGUGGCCAUCACCUUGAUGGGGCCGUGGCUCAGCUGGGCGGUCCCGUGGCUCUUGUCCAUGACAACGCGGGUGAAUUUGACGUCCUGGUAGGAGCUGGAGUAGGUUCCAUGGGCCAUGCGGUGGUAGGUGGCCUCCAAGGCACCCAGGUGGGCCUUACCUGGGGACAGCUCCAAGCCCAGCGCCAUGGAGAAUUUGUUGUAGUCGGU